GACGAACGCUGGCGGCGCGCCUAACACAUGCAAGUCGAACGGAGUCAAGAGGAGCUUGCUUUUCUUGACUUAGUGGCGAACGGGUGAGUAACGCGUGAGUAACCUGCCCUGGAGUGGGGGACAACAGUUGGAAACGACUGCUAAUACCGCAUAAGCCCACGGAUCCAUGGAUCUGCGGGAAAAGGAUUUAUUCGCUCUAGGAUGGACUCGCGUCCAAUUAGCUAGUUGGUGAGGUAACGGCCCACCAAGGCGACGAUUGGUAGCCGGACUGAGAGGUUGAACGGCCACAUUGGGACUGAGACACGGCCCAGACUCCUACGGGAGGCAGCAGUGGGGGAUAUUGCACAAUGGGGGAAACCCUGAUGCAGCGACGCCGCGUGGAGGAAGAAGGUUUUCGGAUUGUAAACUCCUGUCGUUAGGGACGAUAAUGACGGUACCUAACAAGAAAGCACCAGCUAACUACGUG
This 466-nucleotide ribosomal RNA is filed under the name uncultured bacterium. RNAcentral describes it as "partial 16S ribosomal RNA". It matches the Rfam family "Bacterial small subunit ribosomal RNA", at positions 28 to 507 of the family's 1533-position model. The record is from RNAcentral.